UACGUAGGGUGCAAGCGUUGUCCGGAAUUAUUGGGCGUAAAGAGCUCGUAGGCGGUUCGUCGCGUCGGCUGUGAAAUCCCGAGGCUCAACCUCGGGUCUGCAGUCGAUACGGGCGGACUGGAGUUCGGCAGGGGAGACUGGAAUUCCUGGUGUAGCGGUGAAAUGCGCAGAUAUCAGGAGGAACACCGGUGGCGAAAGCGGCUUCCUGGCCCGACACUGACGCUCAUGUACGAAAGCGUGGGGAGCAAACAGG
Molecule: ribosomal RNA, 253 nt
Filed under: uncultured bacterium
Lineage: Bacteria
Description: partial 16S ribosomal RNA
Rfam family: Bacterial small subunit ribosomal RNA
Source: RNAcentral